Molecule: ribosomal RNA, 345 nt
Filed under: uncultured Bacillota bacterium
Lineage: Bacteria; Bacillati; Bacillota
Description: bacterial SSU rRNA
Rfam family: Bacterial small subunit ribosomal RNA
Source: RNAcentral
GACGAACGCUGGCGGCGUGCCUAACACAUGCAAGUCGAACGGAGAAUUUUGAUAAGCUUGCUUAGAUAAAUUUUAGUGGCGGACGGGUGAGUAACGCGUGGGUAACCUACCCAUAAAACCGGGACAACCCUUGGAAACGAGGGCUAAUACCGGAUAAUCUUUUAGCUUGGCAUCAAGUUUUAAGAAAAGGUGGCCUCUGUAUAUGCUACCGAUUAUGGAUGGACCCGCGUCUGAUUAGCUAGUUGGUGGGGUAAAGGCCUACCAAGGCGACGAUCAGUAGCCGGCCUGAGAGGGUGAACGGCCACACUGGGACUGAGACACGGCCCAGACUCCUACGGGAGGCAG